AAGGCCCGUGGCAGAACACCACGUUGAUAGGCCGGAAGUGUACGCACAGCAAUGUGUUCAGCUGACCGGUACUAAUCGGCCGAGGGCUUGGUUAU
Molecule: ribosomal RNA, 95 nt
Filed under: Acidimicrobiaceae bacterium
Lineage: Bacteria; Bacillati; Actinomycetota; Acidimicrobiia; Acidimicrobiales; Acidimicrobiaceae
Description: partial 23S ribosomal RNA
Rfam family: Bacterial large subunit ribosomal RNA
Source: RNAcentral